This 497-nucleotide ribosomal RNA is filed under the name uncultured bacterium. Its description in RNAcentral is "partial 16S ribosomal RNA". It matches the Rfam family "Bacterial small subunit ribosomal RNA", at positions 28 to 507 of the family's 1533-position model. The record is from RNAcentral.
GAUGAACGCUGGCGGCGUGCCUAAUACAUGCAAGUCGAGCGAACGGACGAGAAGCUUGCUUCUCUGAUGUUAGCGGCGGACGGGUGAGUAACACGUGGAUAACCUACCUAUAAGACUGGGAUAACUUCGGGAAACCGGAGCUAAUACCGGAUAAUAUUUUGAACCGCAUGGUUCAAAAGUGAAAGACGGUCUUGCUGUCACUUAUAGAUGGAUCCGCGCUGCAUUAGCUAGUUGGUAAGGUAACGGCUUACCAAGGCAACGAUGCAUAGCCGACCUGAGAGGGGGAUCGGCCACACUGGAACAGAGACACGGGGCAGAGUCCUCAGGGAGGCAGCAGUAGGGAAACUUCCGCAAUGGGCGAAAGCCUGACGGAGCAACGCCGCGUGUGUGAUGAAGGUCUUCGGAUCGUAAAACUCUGUUAUUAGGGAAGAACAUAUGUGUAAGUAACUGUGCACAUCUUGGCGGUACCUAAUCAGAAAGCCACGGCUAACUACGUG